UGAGUUUGAUCAUGGCUCAGGAUGAACGCUGGCGGCGUGCUUAACACAUGCAAGUCGAACGAACCUUCGGGUUAGUGGCGGACGGGUGAGUAACGCGUGGGAAUCUGCCCUCAGGAGGGGGAUAACGGCUGGAAACGGCCGCUAAUACCCCAUAUGCCGUGAGGUGAAAUGAAUUUCGCCUGAGGAUGAGCCUGCGUCUGAUUAGCUAGUUGGUGGGGUAAAGGCCUACCAAGGCAUCGAUCAGUAGCUGGUCUGAGAGGAUGAUCAGCCACACUGGGACUGAGACACGGCCCAGACUCCUACGGGAGGCAGCAGUGGGGAAUUUUCCGCAAUGGGCGAAAGCCUGACGGAGCAACGCCGCGUGAGGGAUGAAGGCCUCUGGGCUGUAAACCUCUUUUAUCAAGGAAGAAGAUCUGACGGUACUUGAUGAAUAAGCCACGGCUAAUUCCGUGCCAGCAGCCGCGGUAAUACGGGAGUGGCAAGCGUUAUCCGGAAUUAUUGGGCGUAAAGCGUCCGCAGGCGGCCUUUCAAGUCUGCUGUUAAAACGUGGAGCUUAACUCCAUCAUGGCAGUGGAAACUGUUGGGCUUGAGUGUGGUAGGGGC
This 603-nucleotide ribosomal RNA is filed under the name uncultured Cryptophyta. Its description in RNAcentral is "bacterial SSU rRNA". It matches the Rfam family "Bacterial small subunit ribosomal RNA", at positions 1 to 658 of the family's 1533-position model. The record is from RNAcentral. Lineage: Eukaryota; Cryptophyceae.